AAAAGUAUGGCCAAACGUCUUCUCUGUGCACUGUGUGACACCUGAAUACGACCCAACCUCUACUUGUGAGAGCAUCACAUGGAAAUGAGCACCAGGAGUAGGACCAAGAGGAACCCCAUGGAAGCCACCAGGUUCCAGCUAACAAGAUGUCAACCGGACUUCCCUGGGCAGAAGACCCCACCAAUG
Long non-coding RNA from Erinaceus europaeus (western European hedgehog), 186 nucleotides. RefSeq lists it as uncharacterized. The record is from RefSeq and is a predicted model, not a curated record. NCBI's taxonomy places the organism in Eukaryota, Metazoa, Chordata, Mammalia, Eulipotyphla, Erinaceidae. The transcript has 3 exons.